RNAcentral lists this unclassified non-coding RNA (150 nucleotides) under Fusarium avenaceum. RNAcentral describes it as "internal trancsribed spacer 1". RNAcentral also lists the same sequence under 3 other names. The record is from RNAcentral. Lineage: Eukaryota; Fungi; Ascomycota; Sordariomycetes; Hypocreales; Nectriaceae.
CCGAGUUUACAACUCCCAAACCCCUGUGAACAUACCUUAAUGUUGCCUCGGCGGAUCAGCCCGCGCCCCGUAAAACGGGACGGCCCGCCAGAGGACCCAAACUCUAAUGUUUCUUAUUGUAACUUCUGAGUAAAACAAACAAAUAAAUCA